GAAGAGAACAGCGCUCUCUCUCUCUCUGUCUCUCCCUCAGUCACUCAGGUUCGCGGGUCUUUUCCGUUAACGUUUAGGUGUUCUUCAGCUUCAGGUGUGAAGUCAGUUUGUCAUUAUGGAGAACAGAGAGAGCGGAGAGAGAUCUUCAUCUUCAUCAAGUCACACACUCAUCCACAAACUGAUCAAGAGUCUGUUUCCACUGUUAGUGAACCACACACUGACUCACCAUUACAGCUGCAGCUGACCAGCAUUUACAGAAUGGAUUCAUCUGUUGAUUAUUUCUUUGACUCAGUUGAAAAUGAUGAAUUAUGAAAUUGUAUGUAUUUUUUACAUUCAAGUAAUAACUGCUGUUAGUGAUAAGACUGGGUGCAUAUUUAAUGGCAAAAACAUUUGAGCAGACAGUAAUUGAUCAGACAAGUGUCCCUCAUUCAGAAGAUGAAUCUCUGUCAUCAGCUGUGUUUCAGCCAAGCCCAGGCUCGGUUCUACAGGGCUUCAAACCAUAGCAAAAGCACCCUCACGUGAAGCUGUAAUAAUAGCAUACUGGAGAAAGAGAUCUGGUAAACUAUCACCUGAACAUCUACAAGCUCUGGUUCAUCAGACUACUCCUAUAUAAACCUAGAGACUGAGAUUUAUUACCAACUAAUCUAUAUCAAGUUAAUU
Molecule: long non-coding RNA, 660 nt
Organism: Cyprinus carpio (common carp)
Lineage: Eukaryota; Metazoa; Chordata; Actinopteri; Cypriniformes; Cyprinidae
Source: Ensembl